ACGCUGGCGGCGUGCCUAAUACAUGCAAGUAGAACGCUGAAGCUUGGUGCUUGCACCGAGCGGAAGAGUUGCGAACGGGUGAGUAACGCGUAGGUAACCUGCCUCUUAGCGGGGGAUAACUAUUGGAAACGAUAGCUAAUACCGCAUAAAAGUCGGCAUUGCAUGAUGUUGACUUGAAAGGUGCAACUGCAUCACUAAGAGAUGGACCUGCGUUGUAUUAGCUAGUUGGUGAGGUAACGGCUCACCAAGGCGACGAUACAUAGCCGACCUGAGAGGGUGAUCGGCCACACUGGGACUGAGACACGGCCCAGACUCCUACGGGAGGCAGCAGUAGGGAAUCUUCGGCAAUGGACGGAAGUCUGACCGAGCAACGCCGCGUGAGUGAAGAAGGUUUUCGGAUCGUAAAGCUCUGUUGUAAGAGAAGAACGAGUGUGAGAGUGGAAAGUUCACACUGUGACGGUAACUUACCAGAAAGGGACGGCUAACUACGUGCCAGCAGCCGCGGUAAUACGUAGGUCCCGAGCGUUAUCCGGAUUUAUUGGGCGUAAAGCGAGCGCAGGCGGUUAGAUAAGUCUGAAGUUAAAGGCUGUGGCUUAACCAUAGUACGCUUUGGAAACUGUUUAACUUGAGUGCAGAAGGGGAGAGUGGAAUUCCAUGUGUAGCGGUGAAAUGCGUAGAUAUAUGGAGGAACACCGGUGGCGAAAGCGGCUCUCUGGUCUGUAACUGACGCUGAGGCUCGAAAGCGUGGGGAGCAAACAGGAUUAGAUACCCUGGUAGUCCACGCCGUAAACGAUGAGUGCUAGGUGUUGGGUCCUUUCCGGGACUCAGUGCCGCAGCUAACGCAUUAAGCACUCCGCCUGGGGAGUACGACCGCAAGGUUGAAACUCAAAGGAAUUGACGGGGGCCCGCACA
This 912-nucleotide ribosomal RNA is filed under the name uncultured bacterium. Its description in RNAcentral is "bacterial SSU rRNA". It matches the Rfam family "Bacterial small subunit ribosomal RNA", at positions 33 to 927 of the family's 1533-position model. The record is from RNAcentral.